Molecule: transfer RNA, 68 nt
Filed under: Limnodrilus hoffmeisteri
Lineage: Eukaryota; Metazoa; Annelida; Clitellata; Tubificida; Naididae
Description: tRNA-Cys
Source: RNAcentral
GGUAUAGUGUUAUAGUUGAGAAUCAACAAUAAAUUGCAAAUUUAUAAACGUGUAAACCACUAACACCU